RNAcentral lists this ribosomal RNA (639 nucleotides) under Triticum aestivum (bread wheat). RNAcentral describes it as "partial small subunit ribosomal RNA". The record is from RNAcentral. Lineage: Eukaryota; Viridiplantae; Streptophyta; Magnoliopsida; Poales; Poaceae.
AUGGAUCACCUACUCAACAUCAAGCCUCCUCUCCCGCUCCCAGCCCCCUCUGCCUCCACCGACAACCUCAAGCUGAGGGCAUCCACGGAGGCCGUCCUCAAGGCCAGGCAUCUCCUCCACGCCUUCGUCGUCAAGCACGCCGGCCGCCUCGCAGGAGCCCUCGCCGGAGCAAGGUCGGCGCUCCUUGCUCUCCUCAACGCCAAGACCGGCCUCGUCACCAGCAAGCUGAGGAGAAGGUCGUCGUCGACCAAGGCCAGGAAGAAGGGCAAGGAACCGUGCUGCUCCGGCGGCGGCGGUGGCAAUGCCACCCCGACGCAGUACCUCAACCUGCUCCCUGACGGUGCCGUGCCUUCGUGGUCGUUAGGGGAGCCAUCGCCCGCUGAGAUUGAGGCCGCCGCCGGCGCGGCCUACUACUACGACCCGUCGUGGAACGCGGUGAUCCCUGCCGAACAGCUGUCGCCGAUGAUCGCCGGCCGGUUUCUGGAGUGGCCCGAGCCGGACGGGGUGGAGGAGGAGGGCUGUUGCAACGAGAUCGACAGCCUCGCUGAGAGGUUCAUCGCCAGGUGCCAUGAGAGGUUCGUCCUGGAGAAGCAGGCGUCCUUCAGGAGAUUCCAGGAGAUGCUGGCUAGGAGCUUUUAG